This 468-nucleotide ribosomal RNA is filed under the name uncultured bacterium. Its description in RNAcentral is "partial 16S ribosomal RNA". It matches the Rfam family "Bacterial small subunit ribosomal RNA", at positions 28 to 507 of the family's 1533-position model. The record is from RNAcentral.
GACGAACGCUGGCGGCGUGCUUAACACAUGCAAGUCGAACGGAAAGGCCCUGCUUUUGUGGGGUGCUCGAGUGGCGAACGGGUGAGUAACACGUGAGUAACCUUCCCUGGACUGUGUGAUAACUUCAGGAAGCUGGGGCUAAUACCUGAUAGGAGCUCCUGCUGCAUGGUGGUGUUCGGACAGUUUCGGCGGUUGGGGAUGGACUCGCGGCUUAUCAGCUUGUGGGUGGGGUAGUGGCCUACCAAGGCUUUGACGGAUAGCCGGCCUGAGAGGGUGACCGGCCACAUUGGGACUGCGAUACGGCCCAGACUCCUACGGGAGGCAGCAGUGGGGAAUAUUGCCCAAUGGGCGGAAGCCUGAUGCAGCAACGCCGCGUGCGGGAUGCCGGCCUUCGGGUUGUAAACCGCUUUCGCCUGUGACGAAGCGUGAGUGACGGUAAUGGGUAAAGAAGCACCGGCUAACUACGUG